AACGAACGCUGGCGGCAUGCCUAACACAUGCAGGUCGAACGAGAUCUUCGGGUCUAGUGGCGCACGGGUGCGUAACGCGUGGGAAUCUGCCCUUUGGUUCGGAAUAACAGUUGGAAACGACUGCUAAUACCGGAUGAUGACGAAAGUCCAAAGAUUUAUCGCCAGAGGAUGAGCCCGCGUAGGAUUAGCUAGUUGGUGUGGUAAAGGCGCACCAAGGCGACGAUCCUUAGCUGGUCUGAGAGGAUGAUCAGCCACACUGGGACUGAGACACGGCCCAGACUCCUACGGGAGGCAGCAGUGGGGAAUAUUGGACAAUGGGCGAAAGCCUGAUCCAGCAAUGCCGCGUGAGUGAUGAAGGCCUUAGGGUUGUAAAGCCCUUUUACCCGGGAUGAUAAUGACAGUACCGGGAGAAUAAGCUCCGGCUAACUCCGUGCCAGCCGCCGCUGUAA
Molecule: ribosomal RNA, 449 nt
Filed under: uncultured bacterium
Lineage: Bacteria
Description: partial 16S ribosomal RNA
Rfam family: Bacterial small subunit ribosomal RNA
Source: RNAcentral